GGGCGUGUGGCCUAGUGGAUAGGGCAGAAGGUUCCUAACCCUCUGAUCGCGGGUUCGAAUCCCGUCACGCCCG
Molecule: transfer RNA, 73 nt
Filed under: Halorussus sp. JP-T4
Lineage: Archaea; Methanobacteriati; Methanobacteriota; Halobacteria; Halobacteriales; Haladaptataceae
Description: tRNA-Arg
Rfam family: tRNA
About the family: Transfer RNA (tRNA) molecules are approximately 80 nucleotides in length. Their secondary structure includes four short double-helical elements and three loops (D, anti-codon, and T loops).
Source: RNAcentral